GAUGAACGCUGGCGGCGUGCCUAAUACAUGCAAGUCGAGCGAACAGACGAGGAGCUUGCUCCUCUGACGUUAGCGGCGGACGGGUGAGUAACACGUGGAUAACCUACCUAUAAGACUGGGAUAACUUCGGGAAACCGGAGCUAAUACCGGAUAAUAUAUUGAACCGCAUGGUUCAAUAGUGAAAGACGGUUUUGCUGUCACUUAUAGAUGGAUCCGCGCCGCAUUAGCUAGUUGGUAAGGUAACGGCUUACCAAGGCAACGAUGCGUAGCCGACCUGAGAGGGUGAUCGGCCACAUGGGAACUGAGACACGGUCCAGACUACUACGGGAGGCAGCAGUAGGGAACCUUACGCAAUGGGCGAAAGCCUGACGGAGCAACGCCGCGUGAGUGAUGAAGGUCUUCGGAUCGUAAAACUCUGUUAUUAGGGAAGAACAGAUGUGUAAGUAACUAUGCACGUCUUGACGGUAACUAAUCAGAAAGCCACGGCUAACUACGUG
Molecule: ribosomal RNA, 497 nt
Filed under: uncultured bacterium
Lineage: Bacteria
Description: partial 16S ribosomal RNA
Rfam family: Bacterial small subunit ribosomal RNA
Source: RNAcentral